UACGUAGGGUGCAAGCGUUAAUCGGAAUUACUGGGCGUAAAGCGUGCGCAGGCGGUUUUGUAAGUCUGUCGUGAAAGCCCCGGGCUCAACCUGGGAAUUGCGAUGGAGACUGCAAGGCUUGAAUCUGGCAGAGGGGGGUAGAAUUCCACGUGUAGCAGUGAAAUGCGUAGAGAUGUGGAGGAACACCAAUGGCGAAGGCAGCCCCCUGGGUCAAGAUUGACGCUCAUGCACGAAAGCGUGGGGAGCAAACAGG
Molecule: ribosomal RNA, 253 nt
Filed under: uncultured bacterium
Lineage: Bacteria
Description: partial 16S ribosomal RNA
Rfam family: Bacterial small subunit ribosomal RNA
Source: RNAcentral